AAUUAGCACUUUUUUACUUGAUUAAUCAAUGUAGGAAGGAAAAGCCUGAUCUUUUUUUUCUCAUGGACUUCCUUCCAAGGUAUUUUACUGGAAACAUAGCUAUUUAAUAGCAGCGUGGACUGCUAGAGUGUCUCUAUGUAACAUUAAGAAUCUAAAAAUAUUCUUCAUUUCCCAAUUUUGCUCCAGAGCAACUGUGUACCCUGAUUAAACUACUAUUCUUAUUUGAAGUACUAAUGUGCAUAUCUAAGAAAUAGAAUUCAUAGUGACUGUCACAUUUUGAUUUCAAGGAGUCCCUGAAUAUGAGAGGUGAUCAAGGCAAAGUUUGUGAUGUACUCAAAAGUAUACAAUGAAUUCAUCAUAAUCCCAUUUGGAAUCUUAAUAUUUUAAAUUGUUAUUAAUACUGUUUGAUUAUAAAAUGUAUCUGUUUAGAAUCUCUGGAAUAUGCUUAAUUAUUUUGUUUAAAAAGAAAUUAUAAGCGUUUUUGUGAAAUGUUUAGUUACACUGAAUGUGUAUCCCCCGUACUCAUACACUGAACCCUAACCCCAGUGUGAGAAUAUAUGGAGGUACAGACACUGGGAGGGAUUUAGACUGGUUGAGAACAAGGGAGAUAAGACCCCCGCAGUGAUGAAAUUAAUGUCUUUAUAAGAAGAACUCUCCCUACUCCAUGUGAAAACACAGAGAGAAGGUAGCCAUCUGCAAUCCAAAGAGAGACUUCUCAUCAGACACCUGCUCUUCUAGAGCCCUAAUCUCAGACUUCUAGCCUCCAAAACUGUAGAAAUAAAUUCCUAUUGCUUAAUAUACCCAAUCCAUGGUAUUUUGUUAUAACAAUCAGAGUGGACUGAUAUAAACAGAGAUAGGGAUCAUAAUUUCCUUUUGGCCUGAAAUAUGAAUAUGUAAAGAUAAAUAUAUGAACAUAAAUGUAUUUACUAGAAAUUAUAUAAAUAUUGUGUAAUAGUUAUACACAACUUUUUGAUAAAGUCAUGCCUGUGUUAUAUACAUCAUUUUGCCUCUGAUUUUAAAAACCAACACUCAAUAUAGCCAUUUUCUCAAGUUAAUAAAUACUCUCUGAAAAUACCCUUUUAGUGUUUGCAUGUGUUUGCAUGAUAUUCUAUCAUAAAGACUGUCAUGUUCCUUUAGGCCAUACUUUUGGUUAUAUGGAUUGUAUCUGACUUUCCAUUAUAUCUAAUAUUAUGUUAUGAACCAAUUAGUGAAGUUGUUUUGUCUAAACAUGUGAUUAAGGGUUGAUUCACUUUAAAAAUCAUAGUACAUUACCAAAUAGAUAUUCAAAAUAUUGUAAUUAUUUACACUUCAAACAAUUAGUUAAUAAAUGUGACUAUCUCAUGGCAAUUUUACAAAGUCUAGCUCCAUGCAGCCAAGUAUAAAAAGAGAGGGCACAUAAAUAUCCCAUUGGCCCUGGGCACCAUUCACACACCUCCUUUUCCUGCCUCACACCAUCUUCAACGGAACAAUGAAAUGGGAUUACUAAAUUUCAUUACUAAAUGGAUGAGUGAAAAUGUGUUGUUCUCUUUUUAUUAUGAUUACAAAUGAAGGUGAAAAUUCAUUCCUAUGCUGACAUGCCAUUUGUACUUCUUCAUCUAUAAUUUUUUAUGAAAUUUGAUCAUGUUUUUUAUUCCUUAGAGUUUUAAUGUUACCACCUGAAAGGUUAAAAAUCUUUAGCAGAUAAAUGAUCAAUAUUAUUAAUAAAAUUGGGAAAAUGUAUUCACAAAUCUCUAGUAGAUGAAUAGUAAAUAUUAUUAAUCUAUAAAGUUUUGUGAACAAUUUUUCCCAAUUGGUCAUUUUAACUUUAUUUAUUUAUUUAUUUGGGGAGGUAUGUAAGUUACAAUCAUGUAUUUUUGUAGAGUCCACUUGGCUGUGGCUUCUUUUCUGCCCAGAAGGAGAAGUAGAAACAAUACAUAAAUUCUAGGACACUUCUGUCCUUUUUGUUUCUUCUGUAUCUUUCUGCCAUUACAUUGUGAAGAAGGGAAAUAAUAUUUGAAUAUUUAAAUCCACUUAAAACUGUAUCAAGCAUCCUAAACAAUUAAACAAAAAGACUCACUGAAAGAAAGGAAAAUAUAAGAAAGGGGAGUAUUUGCCAGAGGAAAUAAAAGGAAAAAAAGAAGUGCAAAGGAACACCUAAAAUACUGACAUCAAUUUGGGGGUACAAUUAAAUCUGAAAAUUAGCAAGACAACCAGAACUUAUUUCACAUUUGGAUGUCAUAAUGACAAAUAAAAAGCUGAUCAACUUCAGACUGUUUAGCAUAAUACAGUCUCUUCUCUGGUGUCAUUAUUGCCUGUUGUUUAAUAUUUGAGUGAUGAAAGGUUGGGAAUUACAAUGCUACCACUGGUAUUUGUUAAUGAACCUUUAAAUUGGCCCUUACUGUUAUAGCCUGUUUAUGUUGGCGUGGCUGUGGUGACUCUUUUAUCGAAACAGACAACACAAUUAAUUUACUUCGGUCCUCUAAAAUGUUUGGGUUGAAUCCAAUAAAAAUGACUGUCAGAAAUAAUGCCAGAUCCUAGACUAGCAACAGGAAAACUCUACAAAUAUCUCCAACCAAGAGUGCCAAUUCUCAAGGGGCAAAGGAGGGAGAGGUGGUUGAAGGAGGAAAGAAGAAGGCACAUACAUAUCAAUCACAUAGCUAAGAGAAAAAGAAAUCAGAUUAUGAGAAAACUGGAGUGUUUGACCUAAGUAACAACAAUUGCCUAUUCCAUUAUGCCACUCUUUGGUAUUAGGACAGAUUGAUGAUGUUUUUAAGAAAUAUAUUUUUAUCACCUUCUGUCUCUCAAAUGUCAUAAUGUACUGACCACUGUACAAGAACUAUGUUUCCCAUAUAAAAAGGUCAUGGUGUACUGCAACUACUAGAUACAUCCCAGACUGAAGCAGUGAAAAGUAAACACACCAGCUGCACUAUGAGACAUAAAGUUUUGUUUCCCAUGCUUGAAAAAUUGUGAAUAUGAGAUGUUUUCUGAUAAUUUUCAUUUUCAAAAAAUACUGUAAGUUUUAGCCACUGAUUUUUUUGCCACUAACUUCCAAAUAAGAGGGUGAAGCAAAGGUGUUGUUGACUUACUUUAGAAAAAGACUUAAUAAAAAUCACGUUUGCUGUUCAUUUUGCCCAUAAUCUGAACAUUCAUUUUCAAAGUUAAUCAACAUAGUAAAUGGCUUUUUACAAAGACAU
This 3173-nucleotide long non-coding RNA is filed under the name Sus scrofa (pig). RNAcentral's name for it is "lncRNA (ENSSSCG00000053577.1)". Lineage: Eukaryota; Metazoa; Chordata; Mammalia; Artiodactyla; Suidae. The record is from RNAcentral.